Molecule: non-coding RNA, 636 nt
Organism: Odobenus rosmarus divergens (Pacific walrus)
Lineage: Eukaryota; Metazoa; Chordata; Mammalia; Carnivora; Odobenidae
Source: the annotation of a RefSeq genome assembly
GAAGAAUAUCAUUUAGGUGACGCUCCAGAGAUGAAGUGUUCUCCAGGCUUCAUGACUGUGAUACUCUUAAUGCUUGGACAAACCCAUGGAGACUCGGUGACUCAGACGGAGGGCCAAGUGACCCUCUCAGAAAAGGGUUUCCUGACGGUGAACUGUACUUAUUCAGGAUCAGGGUAUCCUGCCCUUUACUGGUAUGUCCAGUAUCCAGGAGAAGGUCCACAGCUCCUCCUGAGUGCCUUGACGGAUAAGGAGAAAGGAAGCAAGAAAGGAUUUGAAGCCACCUAUGACAGAGAUUCCAAAUCCUUCCACUUGGAGAAAGGCUCAGUGCAAGCGUCAGAUUCAGCUGUGUAUUACUGUGCCAUGAGUGACAGUGGGGUAGAGAGACUCUCAGCUGGAACACAGAGAAUUAUGACAGGACCCACACAACUUGCUACACCAGGAAACCCCUGUUUCCUGCUCUGGAGCCACGGCAGCAUGUACCCAGCAAUCCUUCCCUCACCCUGUCAGGCUUUCCUUAAAGUGCCAAACCCUGAAAUUAAAGAAGAAGAAGAAGACAUUUUCCAUCUAGUGGGAGAACUCAAACGUGUUGCUCUGCAACCUUCUCAAGGUGGUCAUGGCUUCCAUGUGGCUAAGUAA